Non-coding RNA from Schizosaccharomyces pombe (fission yeast), 292 nucleotides. The record is from the annotation of a GenBank genome assembly. NCBI's taxonomy places the organism in Eukaryota, Fungi, Ascomycota, Schizosaccharomycetes, Schizosaccharomycetales, Schizosaccharomycetaceae.
AUACUGCAAAAUUGAAUUUUAUGUCGACUUUCUUGAAUUGCUGAUAAAUUGGCUAAGGGCACAGCAAUAUUGUCAGUAGACUGAGAGAUCUCCUUAUGGGGGGAUCGCGAGGAAACAUGGGGUGGCGCGGGGUAUCCUUUAUAACGUGAUAUACAAGAUACCAGUAUAUUGAAUAGCGAACUUUAAUUAUUCUACAGAUAUGGACUAUAAAUAGAUGAAUGCGGUGCGUAAAAGCAGAAAUGUGGGUUAGUCGAUUUUGGAUAUAUUUAUUACAAAUGAAUUCAAGUUAAGG